GACGAACGCUGGCGGCGUGCUUAACACAUGCAAGUCGAACGGUAAGGCCCUUCGGGGUACACGAGUGGCGAACGGGUGAGUAACACGUGGGUGAUCUGCCCUGCACUUCGGGAUAAGCCUGGGAAACUGGGUCUAAUACCGGAUAGGACUCCGGACUGCAUGGUCUGGGGUGGAAAGCUUUUGCGGUGUGGGAUGGGCCCGCGGCCUAUCAGCUUGUUGGUGGGGUGAUGGCCUACCAAGGCGACGACGGGUAGCCGGCCUGGGAGGGUGACCGGCCACACUGAGACUGAGAUACGGCCCAGACUCCUACGGGAGGCAGAAGGGGGGAAGAUUGCACAAUGGGCGCAAGCCUGAUGCAGCGACGCCGCGUGAGGGAUGACGGCCUUCGGGUUGUAAACCUCUUUCAGCAUCGACGAAGCGAAAGUGACGGUAGGUGCAGAAGAAGGACCGGCCAACUACGUGCCAGCCGCCGCCGUAA
Molecule: ribosomal RNA, 478 nt
Filed under: uncultured bacterium
Lineage: Bacteria
Description: partial 16S ribosomal RNA
Rfam family: Bacterial small subunit ribosomal RNA
Source: RNAcentral